This 5868-nucleotide long non-coding RNA is filed under the name Vitis vinifera (wine grape). RNAcentral's name for it is "long non-coding RNA (VVIN_LNC002336)". Lineage: Eukaryota; Viridiplantae; Streptophyta; Magnoliopsida; Vitales; Vitaceae. The record is from RNAcentral.
AUCGGUUUUGGACAUUGCAUGAUGAUUUUCUGGUGUGCCAUAGAGCAAUUUUACAAGAGGGAUGAAAACGAUUAUUGGGAAAUACCCAAGUUCAACCUUAAAGAGCAAAUAGACAUCAAUCUGAAAUUGAAUAUUUUUCUUUUUCAUACAUCGUACCUGUUGAGAACUAGAAAGGCAGAACUGGGCUUUGAUGGCCACAUCUUGAUAAAUCCAAACCAUGAGGUUUCUUUAAGGAUUAAGAUAGUGUCAUUCACAAACUGCUGAGCAUACAAAAAAUAACACAAGAAAGAAUCCGUAUGCUUUGAACAACUAAAAGCGCAUUUGACAGUGAUUCUAGAAAGUGUUUCUAACCUUUCUAACGCUUGAAACUUUCUAUCUUUCAAGUAUUAGAAAAACUAGAACCACUGCAAAACAUACUCAUAAUCUACAUAAAUUGUGAAAAGGAAUAGGAAUAAUAAUAAUAAUAAUCCAAGGGGGCCAAGAGAUUCCGACCCAACAGGAUCAUGACCAACUACCAAGUUCCAUCAGCUUCUGAAGCUUUCCUUGUAAGGAGUUCUGAAAACAAUGGAAAAAAGCAAGCUAUUGCCUUUUGAAUGAUUUUAGAUUGUAGAAGCUUUAAGCACAAAUUGUUAACAAAAGAGCAUGCAGCAGAAGAACCUGAUAACAUCUCCUAUGCUACAUCAAAAUAACUACUGGGAGCCAAGUAAGCCUGUGAUUCCACAACUUAAAGCCAUCAUAAUAGUAAAACUUUGUUACAGGCAACAAGAAGUAGAACAAGAAUCAAGACAAUAUUUAGUGGUGUAAGGAUAAUCCCUCAGGAGCUCAAAUGUAACAAAAAUCUGAAAUGCCAAUGAUGCUGCAAAAUUAAAGAAAGCUCAAAGAGAAAUAAUACUGUGACAUGGUCUCUGUGGAUCUUGGUUUCCGUUAGUUGUCCAUGACAAUAAUAGAAUGCCAUACUGCAAAAGCAAAACAACCUUGGAGUGUUGAUUCAGUAUAUGUUUUAAUAGAUAAAUAAAGAUCAAGGAGCUACUUAUACAAGUGUCAAGGGGUUGAAAUUCGGAAAUGUUUUAAUAGGAUUAAUGUUAUUUAUGAAAACAUGAAAGAGUACAAGGGACACAAGAAAAUUUUGUCACUAUCCGUAUUCAUGAUUAUAAUCAACUCUAGAUUAUAACAAUGAAAAGUUAAUAGGAUUACACGGUUAAGAAGUUCUCCUUUAGGCUUCUUUCAAAGCUCUAGGGGUUGAGACAAGGGGAUCCCUUGUCUCCCUACUUAUUCGCGAUAGCAAUGGAGGCCCUCAGUAGUCUUCUCUUGAGAGCUAGGGAAGGAGGUUUUAUCUCAAGGUUCAAGGUGAAGGGAAGAGGGGGUGAGGGGAAGGAAGUUUCUCAUCUCCCCUUUGCUAACGACACAAUUGCUUUUGCAAGGCUUCUUAGGAUCAAGUCAAUAAUUGAUGUUGGGAUCUCAUGUAGUUCGAGGCUAUUUCAAGGCUGAUAAUUAAUCUUUAUAAGAGUGAGUUGAUCCCAGUUAGGCGGGUGGAAAAUAUGGAGGAGUUGGCUUCUGAGCUCGGUUGCAAGGUAGGGGAGCUACUGACUUCUUACUUGGGCUCUCUUUGGGGGCUCCUUGCAGAUCAAAGGCGGGUUGGAAUGGGGUUGAAGAGUGGUUUCAAAAAAGGGCUUCAAUGUGGAAGAGCCAAUACAUCUCUAAAGGGGGGAGGCUUAUAAUGAUUCAUAACACAUUAUCCAACUUGCUUAUUUAUUUUAUGUCUUUGUCCAUCUUGAAAAAUGUCAGGUUAAGGCUAGAGAAAAUCCCUAAGGAUUUUCUUUGAGGUGGAGAGGUCCUAAAGAAAAACCCACACUUGGUGAAGUGGUCGGCUAUUUGUGAGGCCAAGUCAAAAGGGGGUUUGGGUGUCAAAUCUCUCUCUUUGCUAAACAAAACCCUUCUUUGCAAAUGGCUUUGCCAUUUUACUUGUUAAAGGGAAUUGCUUUGGAAGAAGGUUAUUGUUGGCAAAUAUAGGGAGGAUGAAGGGAGGUGUUCUUGUGAGGUAAGAGACUGUUAUGAGGUAGGCUUUUGGUCUCUUUUUCUAUGGCCAAUGGGAGAAGAGCAAAAUUCUGGAAGAACAGGUGGUGUGGUGAGGAGCCUCUAGUGUUGCCUGUCCAUCCUUGUUUGCCUUAGUCAAGUUGAAAGAGACGAGGGCAAGAAAUUUAUGGGGGCAAGAAAUUUAUGGGAGUAGAGUGAGGAAGGAGGACAAUGGAAUUUCUAUUUCACAAGGAAUUUAAAUGAUUGGGAGUUAGAUCUCAUGGAGUUUUUUUUUGUUUAGACCCCAAGGAAAGUCAGUGCACAAAGACAUGGAUGAUCAAGUAGUAUGAAAGAUCAUUAAGAAUGAUAUCUUUUCUGUGAGAUUUCUUUAUUCUGCUCUUGAGCUAGAUCGUGCCUUUCCUUUUCCAUUAGCAAUUAUCAGGAACCUCUGGAGUCUAGGGUGAGCUUUUUCCUUAGGAGGCAUGUUGGGAUAAGGUGUUGAAGUUGGACCGGCUUCAAAGAAGAGGUUAGUUUAGUCAACAUGUAUACUCUUUGCAAAGACGAGGCAAAAUGCAUUGACCACACUCUUUGUGGCAGUUAUUCUUUCUAUUGUUUGGUAUUUUCUAGGUCAUUUUUGCCUCUAUCAAGGAGAUCUCCUAAAAUGGCAUGGCUCUUUCAUGGGAAGAAGGUGAAAGAAGGCAUGGACAGCAGCCAUACCGUUAUGCAUUCUCUAGACUAUUUGGGAGGAAAGAAAACGAGGAUCAUUUGAAAAUGAGUUGUAUGAUCAACGUCUAAAUAACAUCUUCCUCAAUAAUAUCUAUUAGUGGUUCAAGGCUUACGUAGAUGAAGGUGCUAGGUCUUUAUUGGAUUUUAUUGAUUGGCUGGGGUUUUGUUGAGGGAGGGAGUAGAUUUUUUGUCUUCCCCUUUUUUGCUUGCCCUGUUGUAUACGUCCCAUGUACUCUCGUUUACCUUUUCUUUCGGCGCUUUUAAUAUAUUCUCUUCUUUGCCUAUAUAAAAAAGAGAAGACAAAGAAAACAAGGCCAAGGAAGCUCUAUACAAUAGAAAACAGAAAUUAUCAACAUUAGUAAAUUGGAAAUGUAGCUGUAAGUACAGGGCCAACACAUGAAGCUGUAAAUUCUAUAAUACCACCAACAAUCACAACGAGAACCAUCCAUACCAACACAUAAAAUUGCAACCAGCAGCCAUGACUUAAAAUAGACAACUUUAGGUUAUCAAGGACUCCAAGCAUCAUACAACCAAAUUCCAAGUCUAACCAUUCCCUGCCUUUUGCCACUCUUCCUCGUGAUCUUUUGCUACCCACAAGCUUGAAAUGCUUCUUCUCUAAAUAAAUACCAUUUUAAGGGUAACAGGAUCAUUUCCUGACCUGAAAACACUUGGCAGUAGUCCUGCAAGCAAAUGUACAUAGUUCACUAAUGAACAUCUGAGAAGUAUACUAACAAAUCUGAUUCUGAUUCUGUUUUUGUUUUUUCCUUUGCUUUUUUUGCCUGUUUGGGAUAAUUAACAUUUUUCCCCAGUGAAAUAAAAAAUAUCCCAAAAUCUUAAGGAAUAGAGAAUGAAUAGAAAAUCCUCUUAUUUUCAUUUCAUCUAUUUGAUAAAUAGAAAGACCUAUACAUGUACCCUAGGCCUAUUGAGUAACCAAAUUAAUCAAACUGUCAAUCCUGUUUGCAUUCACUUUUUUGUUCUUUUUUUUUUUUUUUUUUGAUAGGUGUUGACCUUUUUUUCUUACUCAAAUUAAUGUUCAUUAAUUAAUCUUUUCCUUCUAAACAAAUUCACACACACAUAUAUAUAGGUGUGCGUCAGUGUAUGAGUUUUUACAUUGGUAUAAUAAAAUGGCAUAAAAGAAAGCUGAAGUAGUCCCACAUAACUGUAACUAGUAGAUAUUGAAUGGCAUCUUACAGAAAAAAAUGGUAACAGAGAGAGAAGAACAAGGAAAUCAUCUUUAUCUGUGCCAUUUCAUUGCCAAACCUUAUUCUAGAUCAAUUGAAACAUUUUUAACUCAAAAAGGGUGUGUUUUGGAAGGCAGGAAUGGAAAUGAUAUUAACAUGGGAAUGAAGUUGAAUCAUAACACCAUUUGGAAAAAAGGAAUCAAAAUCCUGGCAAGAGUAGGUUUUGGUUUCUGUGAUAAUAAAUUUUUUAUUCCCACUCCUACGUCUAAAAAGCAAUCCAAACACAAUGACCAAUGAGAAAUGGAAUGGAUUUUCAUUCUCAUUCUCUUUUCCAAUGAACCAAAAAUGUCCUAAGAGGAAAGGUUCAAAUGAAGAAGAUAAGCAUUCAUGGAAAAAGCUUCUUGAGAAAUAUGGACAUUCAAUAGCAAAGCAGUGGAGCUGAGACACGAGUUGAGAACUAGAUUUCUCAGCAACUAUACAGAGAUUAAUUUAUAAAAAAUAAAAUAAGACAAAAUAAAAAUGAAAAAAAAAAAAAAAACCUAAAAUAACCAGAAUCUGAACAGAAAAAAUCCUGUCAUUGAUAUUCUUUACUGAGGUGUUGUUUCUAGGAACCUGAAACAGACUUACUCAAAUUACCUUAAAAUCUGAAAUAGAGAAGUUCAACAACUAAAGGUUUCUUUCAAAGUCAACUCAGGGCUUCAAAACAGAGAAGUCGAUUCCAGCUUUGAUCUCCAAACAAAGCAUGUUCCACGGACUUUAGGAACAAAAUAAGAGAAGGAAACAGCUAGAUGACAGGAGACAAUGAGAAUGUCCAGUCUGCAAAGAUUCUCUGGAAGAAAAUGGAGAGCAGCAAUAAUGAGAAAUGGGAUCUAGGGCUCACAAGAGUGGGAUGGGUGUUGGCAACAGAAAUCCAGGGUUCACUAGAAAGGGAUGGAUUUUCGCAACAGAAAUCUAGGCUUUGCAAGAAAGGGAUGGGUUUUUUGCUGGUGGCUAAGACCUUCAUGGAAUGAUCUUACUCACAAUGCUCAAAACAGUGUCUGGACAGCUAGACAUUUCUCAGGUUACAAAGAAUUGCCAAGUUUGUACUCACAUAGACAGUGUUCCCUUUUUACCCCUUCAUAUGGCAUACCCUUGCUUCUCAUGAAAUUUAUCCAGUGAGUCAAAAGUUGGUCUAAUACAGUGUUCACUUAUUGUACAUCAUAAAAAGUAGUACUCUGUGGCAUGCAUCCAUUGAACACCACAAUAUUGCAGCAUGAAAAAACACUUUUCUUGUAGUGUAUGCAACACAACUAAAUUUCUUUACAUUCAUUUUUUUUAAAAAUAAGGAUGGGUCAAAAGCAAUAAGAUUCAAAAACUGACAGGAAAUUGACAAUAGAUUCAGAAUCCACUGAAAUGAACAAUCUCCACUCUGCAAGGCAAUGUAAAUAUAUACACCUAUAACACAUCAUUUUAGAGAACUCAAUGGUAACUGAUAAAGUUAUAUUGCAAGAAAUAAAACAGACAUGUCUUGAAAAGCUAAUAAGUACAGCUGAAGAAGAAAAUGUCAUAGUGUACCCAAACGGGGGGGUCCAACACCCGGCCAACAACAGAAGCAUCAAAUCUGGGCAUGCAUCACUGGUUACAGGUAACAGGCAGUGCAAUAAUUAACUAAAGGUUAUAAGCAUUUUCACUUUGUUUACUAAACAUUCAUCUACAGAUCAGAUAUUUCUUAGAGCAUCAGCAGAACUUAAGGAGAUAAAAAUAGGGAACUAUAUGAUUACAACAGUAUAAGAAAGUGAAGCUGGCAAACCAAUGAAGGAGGUUUUUGCAUGUUCAAUCACCAUCCCCAGGGAAGCAUGCUCAUAAAGUCUCUCCACUUCAUCCACUAGUCAGGUAAACAAGAAUAUACUCAGGCAGCUCAUCAGGCCAGAAGAUGGGUGCUCUUUUGCUAAGGACAUACAAAUGAAUC